AACAUACCUGCAGCAGUGGUGAUACAAGCAGGAGAACUACAUGUCCCAGAUGACGAAUCUGCAGAUUUCGUUUUCUCCACAACGUACAGCGCAAUGAAGGAUACAGACAGAAUAAGCAGCAGUAGAAACAAUACGAAGAAAACCAAGAGCACUUUGGAUGGCUUCCGAAUUUCAAUCUCUCCUAGCCGGCCAAAAGGAAAGCUCGCCAUAUCAGUUAUUUCUUAGGACACGCUGAAGUUCUCAAAUAUAUCUAUGAACAUGUGCAUGUGAG
This is a non-coding RNA of Paramuricea clavata, 271 nucleotides long. NCBI's taxonomy places the organism in Eukaryota, Metazoa, Cnidaria, Anthozoa, Malacalcyonacea, Plexauridae. The record is from the annotation of a GenBank genome assembly.